Molecule: ribosomal RNA, 490 nt
Filed under: uncultured bacterium
Lineage: Bacteria
Description: partial 16S ribosomal RNA
Rfam family: Bacterial small subunit ribosomal RNA
Source: RNAcentral
GAUGAACGCUAGCUACAGGCUUAACACAUGCCAGUCGAGGGGAAACGAUGAGAGAGCUUGCUCUCUUAGGCGUCGUCCGGCGCACGGGUGAGUAACGCGUAUCCAACCUACCCAUUACAGGGGGAUAACCUUGCGAAAGUAAGACUAAUACCCCAUGGCAUUUUAUGGUGGCAUCAUUAUAGGAUUAAAGAUUUAUUGGUAAUGGAUGGGGAUGCGUCUGAUUAGCUUGUUGGCGGGGUAACGGCCCACCAAGGCAACGAUCAGUAGGGGUUCUGAGAGGAAGGUCCCCCACAUUGGAACUGAGACACGGUCCAAACUCCUACGGGAGGCAGCAGUGAGGAAUAUUGGUCAAUGGGCGAGAGCUUGAACCAGCCAAGUAGCGUGCAGGAUGACGGCCCUAUGGGUUGUAAACUGCUUUUAUAGGGGAAUAAAGUGAGCUACGUGUAGUUUAUUGCAUGUACCCUAUGAAUAAGGACCGGCUAAUUCCGUG